This 314-nucleotide ribosomal RNA is filed under the name uncultured bacterium. RNAcentral's name for it is "partial 16S ribosomal RNA". It matches the Rfam family "Bacterial small subunit ribosomal RNA", at positions 499 to 807 of the family's 1533-position model. The record is from RNAcentral.
UUAUAAGAGACAGCAGUCGCCGCGGGAAUACAGAGGGUGCGAGCGUUAAUCGGAUUUACUGGGCGUAAAGCGUGCGUAGGCGGCUUCUUAAGUCGGAUGUGAAAUCCCUGAGCUUAACUUAGGAAUUGCAUUCGAUACUGGGAAGCUAGAGUAUGGGAGAGGAUGGUAGAAUUCCAGGUGUAGCGGUGAAAUGCGUAGAGAUCUGGAGGAAUACCGAUGGCGAAGGCAGCCAUCUGGCCUAAUACUGACGCUGAGGUACGAAAGCAUGGGGAGCAAACAGGAUUAGAUACCCCUGUAGUCCCUGUCUCUUAUAC